AGGCAUUUAGCUCAGUUGGUUAGAGCAUGGUGCUAAUAAUGCCAAGGACCAGUUGCAUAUUCCUGCAUUGCCGG
Non-coding RNA from Podarcis lilfordi (Lilford's wall lizard), 74 nucleotides. Lineage: Eukaryota; Metazoa; Chordata; Lepidosauria; Squamata; Lacertidae. The record is from the annotation of a GenBank genome assembly.